Molecule: ribosomal RNA, 253 nt
Filed under: uncultured bacterium
Lineage: Bacteria
Description: partial 16S ribosomal RNA
Rfam family: Bacterial small subunit ribosomal RNA
Source: RNAcentral
UACAGAGACUGCAAGCGUUAUUCGGAUUCACUGGGCGUAAAGGGUGCGCAGGCGGUCGGGUGUGUCAGAUGUGAAAUCCCGAGGCUCAACCUCGGAACUGCGUCUGAAACUACUCGACUAGAGUACUGGAGAGGGUAACGGAAUUCACGGUGUAGCAGUGAAAUGCGUAGAUAUCGUGAGGAACACCAGAGGCGAAGGCGGUUACCUGGACAGUUACUGACGCUCAUGCACGAAAGCGUGGGGAGCAAACAGG